AGUGAACGCUGGCGGUAGGCCUAACACAUGCAAGUCGAACGGCAGCACAGUAAGAUCUUGCUCUUACGGGUGGCGAGUGGCGGACGGGUGAGGAAUACAUCGGAAUCUACUUUUUCGUGGGUGAUAACGUAGGGAAACUUACGCUAAUACCUCAUACGACCUACGGGUGAAAGCAGUGGUUCUUCGGACCUUUCGCGAUUCAAUUAGCCGAUGUCGGACUAGCUAGUUGGCGGGGUAAAGGCCCACCAAGGCGACGAUGCGUAGCUGGUCUGAGAGGAUGAUCAGCCACACUGGAACUGAGACACGGUCCAGACUCCUACGGGAGGCAGCAGUGGGGAAUAUUGGACAAUGGGCGAAAGCCUGAUCCAGCCAUACCGCGUGGGUGAAGAAGGCCUUCGGGUUGUAAAGCCCUUUUGUUGGGAAAGAAAAGCAGCAGGUUAAUACCCCGCUGUUCUGACGGUACCCAAAGAAUAAGCACCGGCUAACUUCGUG
This 492-nucleotide ribosomal RNA is filed under the name uncultured bacterium. Its description in RNAcentral is "partial 16S ribosomal RNA". It matches the Rfam family "Bacterial small subunit ribosomal RNA", at positions 29 to 507 of the family's 1533-position model. The record is from RNAcentral.